RNAcentral lists this unclassified non-coding RNA (1719 nucleotides) under Leishmania donovani. RNAcentral describes it as "gene:LdHU3.10.1270(CDS-product:Ribosome_biogenesi s_protein_Nop16_putative)". The record is from RNAcentral. Lineage: Eukaryota; Euglenozoa; Kinetoplastea; Trypanosomatida; Trypanosomatidae.
UGCAUCCUCAGCGCAGUCCACACCGCCAUCGUUCUCCCCGCCACGCCCCUUCCACCCAGACCAGAGAAAGAGCCGUAGCCACGUAGGCCACCGCACCCGAGCACGACCAUCGCGUGUCACCAUGGGCCGCGUCAAGGUGACACCGAAGGGGAAGGUGAAGAAGAACAUUCCCAUCACUCGCGUAGGGAAGAAACAGUACCUGAAGCGGCGUUUUGCCCACGUCCGCGCUGUGGACGUCGCCGGCGCCAACAACCGCUUUACCCAGAAGUACUUCGAGGGCAACAACACCGCCGAGCAGACCUUCACUCGUCUCGGCCUCGCCAUCGACCCGAGCGCGCCGAAGUCGGUGACGGAGAAACGCAAGGCAAAGGUGCGUCCGCAGACGCGUCGCGUCUUUGAGGAGCAGAAUGAGCUGGCGGAGCACGAGAAGAUGGUGAAGGCGACGAAAAUCGGCCGCCCGGUUAGCGAGCAGGAAGGGUCCACCAUUGCGAACCUGAUCGAGCGUUACGGCACAGACCUGAAGCGCAUGACACUGGAUCGAAAGCUGAACCCGUUCCAGCUGAACAUGCGCCAGCUGCAGCGGCAGAUUGUGAACUACCUCAAGUGGGAAAAGGCAGCCUUCCCAAAGCAGUUCGCCGAGGCGGAAGAGAAGGGCUGGUUUUCAGUUGAGCAGUUCGCCGACCCACACCUGCGCUCCGGUCAGCGGGCUUAGUCGGUGUGCGACUUGGGCCUUCGACAGUUGCCGGUGCUGCCCUUCCUUUCGCAAGACUGUGAUGUGCCCUCCUGCUUGUGUCUCCUCUUCGCCAUCACACCGUGUAAGGAAAGAGGGGUGACGUCGUGUCAGCGACGAUUUUUUUUUGUUGUUUCCUUUACGGUGGGUGUGCGGUUGUGGCGGUGGACACGCCGUCCCCGCCGCUGCUUGCUAGUGCCGCUGUUGUUGCCGGUGUCCCUCUGCCCUCCCCCCUCUCCUCUCCGGUCUCUCACGCUCCGUUGUGUGUCUUCCUCAUCGUGUAACUUCAUCUACUAAAAAGGCUGUCGCCGCUCUUGCGUCCCACCACCACCCCUUCUUCAACCCUGUUGGCCGGCCACUGUCCUUCUCCUGCCUCUCUCCUCGAAUUAUUCACGUGCGGUCUGCGAGGGAGGGGGGGGGCAAGAGCGAUAAACAAAGAACGAAACGACAACAAGCGAUGCGAAGAAGCAUCCGGCGCGGCAUCAUCACCAUUGCACCAAGAAACGGCCUACCGAGUAGGACGGAAUGGGAUAGGGACGCUACAGCAGCACCCGCAUCACGAGCGCCGCGCUCAUCCAAGAAGGUAUCCGCGCGCCCCUUAGCGGAAGAGGGGGGAAGCCCAGUCGCAUACCCCCCCCCUCCCCACGCUAGUAGCAGGCUGGGAGCACCCUUAGCCGCUGUCCGUCCCUCUGCUCCGCUUCACAUUAUCGUUGGGGGCGAAUCCGCAUGGCGGUGGUGAUGCAAGCAGCGCCUUCGCUUCUCCACCCUCUCUGGGUUGUUGCACCGCUGCCGCGGCGGCGGCUUAGUCCACACACACACGUCUCCAUCCCUUCCUGCACAGACCGUUACCAUAGCAUUUGUUGGUUGACGGACAUGUUUUGCAUGAGCGAAUACUCGGCCCUCCCCUCCCCACGCAUCCGUCUCUGCCUUCCCUCUUCUGUGCGUCGUAACUUGUGAGCGAAUACGGGCAUACACGGUGCGGCGCAAAG